This 68-nucleotide transfer RNA is filed under the name Cryptopygus terranovus. Its description in RNAcentral is "tRNA-Trp". It matches the Rfam family "tRNA". Rfam says of the family: Transfer RNA (tRNA) molecules are approximately 80 nucleotides in length. The record is from RNAcentral. Lineage: Eukaryota; Metazoa; Arthropoda; Collembola; Entomobryomorpha; Isotomidae.
AAAAUUUUAAGUUAAUAAAACUAAAAGCCUUCAAAGCUUGAAUUAGGAGUUUAAUCUCUUAAAUUUUA